AAUAGAUACCCGGUAGUCCACGCCGUAAACGAUGAGUGCUAAGUGUUGGGGGGUUUCCGCCCCUCAGUGCUGCGAGCUAACGCAUUAAGCACUCCGCCUGGGGGAGUACGGUCGCAAGACUGAAACUCAAAGGAAUUGACGGGGGCCCGCACAAGCGGUGGAGCAUGUGGUUUAAUUCGAAGCAACGCGAAGAACCUUACCAGGUCUUGACAUCCCGGUGACCACUAUGGAGACAUAGUUUCCCCUUCGGGGGCAACGGUGACAGGUGGUGCAUGGUUGUCGUCAGCUCGUGUCGUGAGAUGUUGGGUUAAGUCCCGCAACGAGCGCAACCCUUAUUCUUAGUUGCCAUCAUUCAGUUGGGCACUCUAAGGAGACUGCCGGUGAUAAACCGGAGGAAGGUGGGGAUGACGUCAAAUCAUCAUGCCCCUUAUGACCUGGGCUACACACGUGCUACAAUGGACGGUACAAACGGUUGCCAACCCGCGAGGGGGAGCUAAUCCGAUAAAACCGUUCUCAGUUCGGAUUGUAGGCUGCAACUCGCCUACA
This 546-nucleotide ribosomal RNA is filed under the name uncultured bacterium. Its description in RNAcentral is "bacterial SSU rRNA". It matches the Rfam family "Bacterial small subunit ribosomal RNA", at positions 777 to 1320 of the family's 1533-position model. The record is from RNAcentral.